UACGUAGGGACCGAGCGUUGUCCGGAUUCAUUGGGCGUAAAGAGCUCGUAGGCGGCUGUUCAAGUCGAACGUGAAAACUCGGAGCUCAACUCCGAGCCUGCGUUCGAUACUGGACGGCUAGAGUCUGGUAGGGGGAUCGUGGAAUUCCUGGUGUAGCGGUGGAAUGCGCAGAUAUCAGGAGGAACACCGGUGGCGAAGGCGGGUCUCUGGGCUGUAACUGACGCUGAGGAGCGAAAGCGUGGGUAGCGAACAGG
Molecule: ribosomal RNA, 254 nt
Filed under: uncultured bacterium
Lineage: Bacteria
Description: partial 16S ribosomal RNA
Rfam family: Bacterial small subunit ribosomal RNA
Source: RNAcentral